This 253-nucleotide ribosomal RNA is filed under the name uncultured bacterium. RNAcentral's name for it is "partial 16S ribosomal RNA". It matches the Rfam family "Bacterial small subunit ribosomal RNA", at positions 524 to 776 of the family's 1533-position model. The record is from RNAcentral.
UACGUAGGGUGCAAGCGUUAAUCGGAAUUACUGGGCGUAAAGCGUGCGCAGGUGGUUGUGCAAGACAGGUGUGAAAUCCCCGGGCUUAACCUGGGAAUUGCAUUUGUGACUGCACGGCUAGAGUGUGGUAGAGGGGGAUGGAAUUCCGCGUGUAGCAGUGAAAUGCGUAGAUAUGCGGAGGAACACCGAUGGCGAAGGCAAUCCCCUGGGCCUGCACUGACACUCAUGCACGAAAGCGUGGGGAGCAAACAGG